UCCUGCGGGAUUUGCAGGAAGCCCAUGGCAUGCCCAGUAGAGACACGUGGGGUGAUUUCCUGCUUUCUGUGGAGGGGAAGAGUGGGAGGAAGUCUUGGCUGAGGCGGACAGGGAGAGGAGGAACCCGGCAGCCAACCCACCUUCUGCACCAGGAGGUGCUCUUGUACGUAGGCGGCCACCGCAUCCCAGACGGCAACUCGCUCUGGAGGGCAAAGGAAAAGCGGGUCACACUCUGCACCUGCCGCUUCCCAGCAGCCCUCCCGCUGCCAGGCGGGAGUGAGGUGGCAGAUGGAAAGUGUCGUCUGCGUGCCAGGAUUGGCUGCAGCAGCGCUCCUGUGGUGGCUGUGGAGCCGUGUACCUUCGGUGUCGGUGCAGGUGGGUAUGGAGGCACGCCUCGCUGCGGGGCCAUCCUCGCAGAAGCUCAUCCUGUUCCGCCUCGUGCCAGCGGGUUGCUCCUUGUUGGCGCCAGCCAUGCCGGAGCUCAUCCCUUCAGGUGCGUCUGCUCUCU
RNAcentral lists this long non-coding RNA (508 nucleotides) under Gallus gallus (chicken). RNAcentral describes it as "lncRNA (ENSGALG00010000099.1)". The record is from RNAcentral. Lineage: Eukaryota; Metazoa; Chordata; Aves; Galliformes; Phasianidae.